UCAAGAGUCUCUCCAAGGCAAAGUCUUGGAGGAUCCUGCAAGCCUGAGGUUGAUUAUCUAAGAGCUGAGUGAGCUAUGACUUAUAAUUAGACUUAAGCUGUUUUAAAUAAUAUAAUUAAAUUGUGAUAUUUCUUGUAUAUCUGAAUUUGUAGAUCAAGAUUCCUAUUCUCUACAAUUAGGGAAUUAGGUAAUUAGGAGGUCAUUAGCAUAGUUUCAGUAGAGCAGGGUGAAAUUAUAUUAAAGAACAUUAAGUAGAGAACAGGAGGUAAGAAAGCUUGAGAAGUGGAAGAAUGAACUUGGAUGGCAGCUGGAAAGCAGGAGAGACCUGAUUAUGUUUGCUAGUUGAGAAAAGAAACGAACAGAGAGAGGCUUUUCUCCAAAGAUAUAAGGUCAAUUUAAUUCAAUUUCACCAAUUUGACCUGUUGGGGUUUAUUGAUUCCUUGGCGACUGAUUAAGCACUUCACCAUCCUACCUGUUCUACUUGCUUAUCAUCUGCAGCUGCUUCUUCUCUCGGAGUUGGAAAGAAUUACUCUCAGUCUGUUCAGGCCUCCAGGUCGGUAGGGAGGGCUCUCCUUUGACAGAACUGUGGAUGAACCCAUAGUCGUUAGGUUGUCUGCCAGAAGGGAGUCCCACUUCACCAUUUUCUGUGUAUGAAUUUUGCAGAGAAGGACAUCACGCCUAUGGUAUGAAGUCAGAACCGAUCUCAGUUUAUUCCUUAUUUUCCAAUGAAAAAGAAGGAUUUUGUUAAAGGCAAUGAGAAUAUUUGGUCAUUUUCUGCCUAAGAAAAUACACAUUUAUUGAAAUUUGAUGGCAUUGGAUCUUUCUUCUACAUUUGUGGAGGGGUCGUGCACACUUCAUCUCCAACAGCUGGUAGAGCUGAGUGGGCAGAUUGCUUUCUGUGCGCACAAGAAACAGGUGUCCCUGUGCCCAUUUUAUGUGUGGAAACUGGAAACUCUGAGGAGUUAGCCUCUCCAUAUUUCCAGAAUUAACAAGCCAUGGAGAUGAGGUUCAAACAGAGAGGUUAUAUAAUGUUUGAUAUUUGGAUUUCUCAUCUUAUGGAAGACUGCGGUUAGCUCUGGGUUCACAGAAAGAGUGUGGCCCGGCUGCAUACACUUCAAACAGCAAGCACGCAUAAGAUCCCAGAGUAGUCCCCCGAUUUCCAAUGCAGGAGGUUGCUUGGUGGCAGAGCUCUGCAAGUGUCCAACAGCAGGCAUUCCAUGGAGCCGUGCACUGGUGUGGAGUGCCAGCGUCUGAUAAAGAAAACGAAGAUACUCUAACGAAGCAGGAAAAGUUCCUGGAUGUGGCAGAUCCAUCUCAAGGCUUUGGAUAAAAGACUGAAGCAGGAGUAAUUGGAUACCAGAACAUUAUAUAUAUAUUUUUUGCAUUAAUCCUUUUGCUUUUUGCUUACCCUUUUCUUCCCAUGGCACUGAAGUGGAAUAUCCCAAGUGCCACCGAACUCAGAGAACUCCACGCCGGAAUGGGGGUGAGGCUGGCGUUCUACCUCUGGCAUAGGAUAAGGAUGGCAGGCACGUAAUAUUACGAAAUGUAGGACAAAUUCAAGCGAAAGAGAGGGAGAGGGAGAGAGAGGGGGAGAGCCAGAGACAGAUGGCGGAUCUGGCUAGGAGCCAAAGCCAGUGAAAUGAAUUACAUUGCUGAAUAACUGUAUACCAUUGAUUCUGCCACUUGUUGCUGCAUGGCAAAAAAAAAAAAAAAAAAAGGAAAAAAAAGAAAAGCCCCAGUGUAUGCUGGAAUCUCCUUAUUUGUCAUGUGCGCAGCAGACAACUUUCACACACAACUCAAUCCUGACAAUGAUACGCUCUGGGUGUCUUGAGUGGGUGUGGAGGUGCAUGAGAAGGUUGUGUGCAUGUAUGUGUGGCCGAGAAAGCAAAUGUGGGUGUGUGUGCUUAUGCAUGUGGGAGAAAGGAAAAACAAUCCUUGCAAUCCGGCCAUUUUUGUUUAAUGAAGAAUGGAAGACUGGCAUUCAGAGAUGUGGUUACGUGCCGCAUAUUAAUGCGUGCUCACCACUCAUCCUCCCCCACUUUAAAAAUGAGUGGCACAGGAGUGAAGCUCUCUACAGAUCAACCACGUGGGAGAAGCAACUCAUGAGGUGGCAUCCUGUUACAGGAACAUCUUUCACAAAUUAUGAGGUGCUGACUGCCCUGGCUCCCGACUCCAUGCCUGGAAGCCCAUGCUUGGCCUCCUUACCCUGACGGAGUCUUCCCUGCCAGCCCUCUGUACUCAAUGCACAUUGCACAUCUCUACAGAACGACUUUGACUUGACUUGUCCCUCUAACUCCAGAUUC
Equus asinus (donkey) is the source of this 2303-nucleotide long non-coding RNA. NCBI's taxonomy places the organism in Eukaryota, Metazoa, Chordata, Mammalia, Perissodactyla, Equidae. The record is from Ensembl.